AGCAAGUUCUACAGGGAGGUCAGGACUGUGGAAGUGUAUUAGUGGAAGCGGUCAAGUUGGAUUUGCUCCACUAAUGUACUUCCACAUUCCUGGCCUCCCUGCCACCUCCGUUU
Molecule: non-coding RNA, 113 nt
Organism: Podarcis lilfordi (Lilford's wall lizard)
Lineage: Eukaryota; Metazoa; Chordata; Lepidosauria; Squamata; Lacertidae
Source: the annotation of a GenBank genome assembly